AAACCAACAGGGAUUGCCUCAGUAGCGGCGAGUGAAGCGGCAAAAGCUCAGAUUUGAAAUCGUGUUUCGGCACGAGUUGUAGAUUGCAGGUUGGAGUCUUUGUGGAAGCGUGUGUCUAAGUCCCUUGGAACAGGGUGCCAUUGAGGGUGAGAGCCCCGUGAGACGCGUGCGGAAGCUGUAAGGCCCUUCUGACGAGUCGAGUUGUUUGGGAAUGCAGCUCUAAGUGGGUGGUAAAUUCCAUCUAAGGCUAAAUAUUGGCGAGAGACCGAUAGCGAACAAGUACUGUGAAGGAAAGAUGAAAAGCACUUUGAAAAGAGAGUGAAACAGCACGUGAAAUUGUUGAAAGGGAAGGGUAUUGGGCUCGACAUGGGAUUUGCGCACCGCUGCUCCUUGUGGGCGGCGCUCUGUGCUUUUCCUGGGCCAGCAUCGGUUUUUGCCGCAGGAGAAGGCGUGCUGGAAUGUGGCCCUUCGGAGUGUUAUAGCCGGUGCGAGAUGCUGCGUGCGGGGACCGAGGACUGCGACAUCUGUCUCGGAUGCUGGCACAACGGCGCAAUAUCGC
Molecule: ribosomal RNA, 559 nt
Filed under: Pichia occidentalis
Lineage: Eukaryota; Fungi; Ascomycota; Pichiomycetes; Pichiales; Pichiaceae
Description: LSU rRNA
Rfam family: Eukaryotic large subunit ribosomal RNA
Source: RNAcentral